RNAcentral lists this long non-coding RNA (722 nucleotides) under Androctonus crassicauda. The record is from RNAcentral. Lineage: Eukaryota; Metazoa; Arthropoda; Arachnida; Scorpiones; Buthidae.
CACAAAUUUAGAUAUCAGAACAAUGAGACUAUGGUAGUAAUGGAUUUUGAAAAACUCUAUCCUUUUCUCAUGUUUCCACCUAUAUGUUUAGAUUUUCACAGAUUUUUUUUGAAAACCUUCUGGCCAGUUUGCAGACAUGUUAAGAGACAUAAUGACUUUAAUCUCCUACAACUUGUAUUUUGCUUUCAAUGGGAAAAUCUUUCAGUAGAUAUCUGCAGGUCCAAUGAGAGGCCUGAUAGCAGGCAUAAUGACUGAAACAGAUCUAUAAAAAAAAGAUACUUGUAACCUUCAAAUAAAAUUUGAAAAUAUAUGUCAGAUAUGUAAAUGAUCUCCUAGUUAUAUGGAAGCAACAUGAUAACACAGAGCACCUCAUUAAAUUAUUGAAUACAGAGAAUAUAGGCCUGAAACUAAUCUUGGACUAGAAAAAUAAUUCCAGCAUACACUAUAUGUCUAAAUAGAAAUAGCAGGAACUAAUUAUGUUACUUCAGUUUACAGAAAACCAACAUAUAUCACAAAUAUCAUAUUAAAAUGAUUGAAUGACUUGAUUAAAUUAUAAAAAAUAAGCCUUUAGAGCAUAUUUCAAGAGACUAUUGACACAUACAUGAAGCAAAAGAGAGACAGAAGAAAUUUGUCUUCAAAGAAAGAAUGUGAGGUGUGGACCUCUUUCCUACCUCUUUUCUCUUCACUUAGCUUUAAAGUUAGGUUUUUAAUAUUUUUUUAAU